Molecule: unclassified non-coding RNA, 418 nt
Filed under: soil metagenome
Description: partial contains 5.8S ribosomal RNA, internal transcribed spacer 2, and large subunit ribosomal RNA
Rfam family: 5.8S ribosomal RNA (bases 1-120)
Source: RNAcentral
GAUGAAGAACGUAGCGAAAUGCGAUAAGUAAUGUGAAUUGCAGAAUUCAGUGAAUCAUCGAAUCUUUGAACGCAUCUUGCGCUCCUUGGUAUUCCUUGGAGCAUGCCUGUUUGAGUAUCAUGAGCAAAUCUCAAAGUCAAUUCCUUUUGUUGAUUCAAUUGGUUUUGCUUUGGACUUGGAGGCCUUGCAGAUUUCACAGUCUGCUCCUCUUAAAUGCAUUAGCUGGAUCUCAGUAAUUAUGCUUGGUUCCACUCGGCGUGAUAAGUAUCACUCGCUGAGGACACUGUUAAAAAGGUGGCCAGGAAAAUACUGAUUGAACCGCUUCUAACGGUCUAUUAAGUUAGACAAUUACCCUUAAGUUUGAUCUCAAAUCGGGUAGGACUACCCGCUGAACUUAAGCAUAUCAAUAAGCGGAGGA